AACGCACCUUGCGCUCUAUGGCAAUCCGUAGAGCAUGCCUGUUUGAGUGCCAUGAAAUCUCCCACCCCAAGCGGUUUUUACAUGAAACGGCUUGGCGGAUGGGGUCUGGAUGGGUGCCUCUGCCUGCGCUACCUAGCACAGGCUCGCCCGAAAUGCAUGAGCGCCUUGAGACACUUUGCAUCCGCCUCUCUGUUUGGGAGGAGGCGGCCAAGCAGUGUUUUUCUCCUGGCAUGGCAUGAUACGUCAUUUGCUAUGUCGCCUAAAGGAGGAAUGUUUGGUUGUGUCUGCGUGUGCUUCGAACUUGCCUCUGUGGCACAUCCCCAAUUUCACUUCUGGUCUCAAAUCAGGUAGGAUCACCCGCUGAACUUAA
RNAcentral lists this ribosomal RNA (370 nucleotides) under uncultured fungus. Its description in RNAcentral is "eukaryotic LSU rRNA". Lineage: Eukaryota; Fungi. The record is from RNAcentral.